This 500-nucleotide ribosomal RNA is filed under the name uncultured bacterium. RNAcentral describes it as "partial 16S ribosomal RNA". It matches the Rfam family "Bacterial small subunit ribosomal RNA", at positions 29 to 523 of the family's 1533-position model. The record is from RNAcentral.
AUUGAACGCUGGCGGCAUGCCUUACACAUGCAAGUCGAACGGCAGCACGGGAGCAAUCCUGGUGGCGAGUGGCGAACGGGUGAGUAAAGUAUCGGAACGUGCCCAGUCGGGGGGGAUAACGUAGCGAAAGUUACGUUAAUACCGCAUACGCACUAUGGACGAAAGCGGGGGCUCGCAAGACCCCGCGCGAUUGGAGCGGUCGAUAUCAGAUUAGGUAGUUGGUGGGGUAAAGGCCCACCAAGGCGACGAUCUGUAGCUGGUCUGAGAGGACGACCAGCCACACUGGGACUGAGACACGGCCCAGACUCCUACGGGAGGCAGCAGUGGGGAAUUUUGGACAAUGGGCGAAAGCCUGAUCCAGCCAUGCCGCGUGCAGGAUGAAGGCCUUCGGGUUGUAAACUGCUUUUGUACGGAACGAAAAGGACUGCCCUAAUACGGUGGUCCCAUGACGGUACCGUAAGAAUAAGCACCGGCUAACUACGUGCCAGCCGCCGCAGUAA